UACAGCAGAGCACUUGUUAUGAGAUGAAGACUCUACCAUAAAUUAGAAAAGCAAUCCUUAGUAAGAUACCACUGAAGCUUAAUGGAGCUCUAUAAUUUAUUUCCAAUUGUAGAUUGUCUGAUCUGAUCAAUGUUUUAAACUGGUGGUCUGUAUUAUGCAGUGUUAUGUUACUUGCCUUAGCUCAGCUCUUUCUACAAUGGUUCUUCCUCCCACCCUUUAAUUACAUGGAAGACAUUGGUCACUCCAUUUGGGAAUGGGGAUGUUUUUAAUUCAAUGUAUCUGAAGGGUACCAGAAUAGGAUGGACUCCUUUAAGUAAACUAAGACAAGAGGACUGCUUGGACUUUUCAAGGCAGCAUGGAAACCAAUCCUGGUAUCUCCACAUUUCUCAUUCAUAUGUUCCUUAACCCCUUAUGGAACUUUUGGACCUUUUCCCGAAAAUGAAAGCAGUCAUUUCCAGUGCUCCCUAUCUGAAAUUAAAUUUUCCUGCUGGCAAAUGGAAAAAAGGAAACAAGUCAGCCACAGUGCCAAAAGCAUUGAACUCACUUUUAGCCAUUGCAGAUGGCUCCCAACAAAGUAUGAGAUCAUCUUUUAGUUUUAGUUUAUUGUUAUUGCAUCCCACCCAGCACCCAUUCUCAGGAAUGAGGAAGGCACUGAUUUUUGACUGAUGCCUGGUAGACCUAAACAAGGUGCAGGAUCAUUUGAACAACAGCACUCUCAUCCUGGAACUUUUACUGUAGAAAUGGCAAUUAAAGCAGCAGUGCAUGAUUUGAGGCCCCAAGGAUGCUAGUGGCCCAAAAAGCUUUGGAAAUAACUCACACAUCAUCUUCAAAAGCUGCCCCAAAUUGCACUUUUUAAUAUGAAAAGCAAAUGGACUCGGCUAAGAAAGACAAAUAUUUGCAGUGCCUGCAGCACUCUAUCGUUAAUAUGAUGGGUGUUUACAAUGGCACUUUCCCAAUAAACUUUCAAAAUACAAGAGUAUAACCUAUGUUAUUACUAGAUACUGGUAUUUUUUUCAACCCAUGAAUAAUUUAACCACAAGUAUUUAGAACACAGUUACAGUACAAAGUCUUAGUCAAUUUUGCAUGCAUAAACUAUUAAUAGUUCUGCUCUAAAGGUGUUAGUCCUCUGCCCUGAUUUCUUCUCACCAGUUGUAGCUUUCCAGGUGGCAAUCACAACUUUGACAUUUAAGGUAAGUGUCAGCCUUUUCACAGUUGUUUUCAGUUUGUAUGGAUUAUUCAAGUCUCAUUUUAGAGCUGAUUAAUUACGAGAGAAAGGAUGGUGGUAUGUCACUUGAACCCGAGAAUACCCACACUACACUUGAGGCUUAAACCAAAAGGCUUAAGUAUUAGGGGGAUCAGUUGAGAUCAGGAAAGCUCAGUGAAUGGUUUUAAACAUUCAGUCUCAAUUUGUGUUGUGCUUAUGUAUAGUCCCGGUUUUGGAAUAAUAUAACCCUAUAUAUAGUUAUGGAAAAGUAUGUCUUGCUGGUUUCAAUGAAUUUGCUACUACACAGCCUACUUGAAAAACAAUGGAAAACUCUACUUUUUUUCCUCCCUUCAGGAUGAAUAAAAAUGCAGAAAUGCUACUACAAUUAGCAGAGUGCUCAUGUAAACAGUACAGAACAACUAUUUGUUCUUGUAGCCCCAAGCUUUGCAUAAUGAAUGCUGCUGAUUAAUAGGAAAAGAGAUGUGGGCAUUUCAUUGAGAUAGAGAACCCUCUAAGAGCAUUUUUCUUUUCAACUGCAUCUCAUGUGGAAGACAUGAGUUUAAUUUGAUGGAUAUUGUUUUACCUACAAAUCAAACUUUGUGCCUCCCUUUGUACCUCAAUGGCUCAGAGCCCCUAGAUUGGGGCUGUGCAACUUUAGUUGUGACUGUGGGUCACAACUCUGGCCUCUGAGUGACAUAACAGGAGCCACACAGCAAAAAGUAGGUGGUCUUUUAAGUGUGCAGAGCCUGGAUAAAAACUAUCUUUGAUUUAAUGAAAAUGUAAAUUAAAUACACAACAUUAUUCCUUCCCAUAUAUUGAAUAAUUUUCCAUUCUGGUGACAUUAAAAGAUACAGUUUUGUUGCAGAUUUUGUAAGGAUCUAGGGGCCAUAUCCAAGGCUUAAGGACUGGAUGCUGCACUGGACUCUCAUAUGUAAAUCCCUGGUCUACAUUAUGGUCUGUUUUCUCCCAUCACCUUACAUGCUUGCCCUGCCUUAUCUUCUUCUGUGUAGCUGUGUAAGGGAAGCUGGGAUCAUAUACUUAGCUUUUAAAUUGAUUAAAUAUUUCUAAUACAUCAUAAGAAAAUAGGAAUAGUCCUGCUACAUCAGGCCAAAGCCCAAUUUAUUCCAGUAUUCUGUUUCAUACAGAGGCCAACUAGAUGAUUCUCCCAGGCAGGAAAAAGAAACAUACCUUUCUCCUGCUGUUGUUCCUCUGCAAGUAUAUUUGGAGACAUGCAAUGUCCCCAGUUCAGAAGUAAUGAUGAGACUUGUGCUUAACUGCCUAUGAUAGAGGUGUCCUCUGUUAAAUUUCAUACCCAACCUAGAAAAUAAAUUACAGGUUUCCAGAACACUUAAUCUUUAGGCCAAUUUUUCAGCUUGACGAGAGAAGACUCCUGCAUACAACUGGGUAGAUUAGAAUCUGGAUUGUAUAAAGUCUCACACCCAACAGUUGAUUGUCACUGCAGUGCAAAGAUGUCAGAGAGAGGCAACUAGACAUGUUUAUAUGUAUGUAUUCUCUGGAGUUAAACUCUAGGCUUCUUCUUCCAAACUUCCAAAUUAAUGGAUACCUGGUUGUCAAUUGAUGGCUUUGGAUGGUUGAAAUAUGUGUAUAUAACAGCCAUCCCUUGCCUAGGAACCACUGGAUCCUGCCUUGCCAGCCUCAGCCCUCACAUCCUCCAUCUUCCCUUCCAAUCUUCUUUUAAAACCAUCCAAGUUAGUAUCCAUCUGUUAGGUUAAUGAUCUGCUGUUUGAAGAAGUAGAUUUCUUCCAUCUGUUCUAAACCUCCUUCUAAUAAGUUUCACUCGAUGAUUCCUGGUCCUAAUAUUUUGAAAGAGAAAGAAAAAUGCCCUACUUUCUUCAUGUCAUGUGUUAUUUUGCACAUGUUAAUCAUGUCCUCAUUCAGUCUCUAUUUCCAAGCUCAGGUGUCCCAAACUUUCUCAGCCUUUUGUUAUAAAAAAGAUGUUUGUGUCCUCUAAUUGUUUUGGCUGCUCUCCUGUGCAAUUUUUCCAGUUUGAUGUUGUUUUAUAAAUGUGGUGACCAGUAUGUCCAGAUGCAGACAUACCAUAGAUUUCAGUAAGAGGAAAACAAUGUGAGCAGUUUUAUUUUCAGUCCUUUCCUAAUGAUCUAAAGGAUGAAAUUUGCCUUUUUCAGUACGGACAUACAUUUAGUCAACAACUUCAUUAACUGAAAUAGUAUAUAUGUAAAGCUUGGGAGGGGGUUGUGUAAUGUGCAUCACUUUACAUUUACAUCAAUCAAACUCAGUUUGCCAUUUGAUUGACAAUGUUUAAAGAGAUCCUUCUGGAGCUUGUAUAGUUUAGUAUUAUCCAUGAUCCACAAACUUAACCAGCUCACUACUUACCCAUCAGUCAGGAUAACUUAUGAACAAGUUAAAAAGCACUAGUCCCAACAUAGAAUGUCUCAGUUGAAAGAGUCCAUUUCUUACUAACUUCCCUAGAGAAAAUUGCCCAUUUAUUCUAUUUACUUUAACCAGAUAGCAAUCCACAAAGGGAUAGGAACUCUAUUCAGGAGCCUUUGAUGAGAAACUUCAUCCAAGAAUACAGGAUCAAUCACCUCUAUCCAUGUAGCUAUCAGCAUUCUAAAAAUACACUGGAAAGCUUGAUGAGGUAACAUUCAUCUUUGCAAAAACUAUGCCAAUCAUUCUACAAGGCUUACUCCUCAAUAUCCUUAGUUAUUUUUCUUUUGAUUAGCGCUUCCACCAAGUUACCAAAACAUAUGUUAACUUGACUGGCUGAUAAUUUUCUGGAUCUCUCCCAUGCUCCUUUUUAAAAAUAGAUUUCAUUGGCUACUUCCAGUCCCCCAACACUGAGCCCAAUUUGAGGAACAAUUACAUGUUUUUGCUAUGAGGUCAGCAAUUUCUCCUCUUUAGGAACUCAGGUGGGUUCAGGUGAAACUGGAGUUAUGGUUUUAAAAACUUUCCAGAUAUUAUGGAGAAAUUUGGCAUUCAAGCUCAUUACCUCAAACCAGACAGGAUGAACUGUGGUUUGUGAUUGUGACUUGUUAACAAUUAUAGUUUCAACUAAUCAAGUUUUCUUUCAAGUUCAGAUGUAAUGUGGAAUCCCAAGCCAUUCAAAAGUGAAAGUGAUGUGCCCAGCCUCACAGCCAUACUAAGGAAGGAGAAAAUGCAAGUCCAAGGCUUACUGUUGCUCAGACAAGAAUGAAGCCAUACACGAUUACCCACUGCCAGUGAGAAGAUAGCCUUGGAGUUUAAACUUUUUAUUCUGCCUUUCUGAAUUAGCUGCUCUUUGGCACAGUGCUUGAUGGCCUUGAAGCCAAGUGGUUGUUACAUGUUUAUGUAAAAGCCAUCUUUGACUGGGAAAUGCUGGUUCCCACUUCAACCUUCAUAUACAGUGGAAACGAGGUUUGGAUCUGUACAAAAAUCACCACUCCAAAGCUGCUUGGACAUGAUAAGCAAGAUGAAAAGGAGAAAUUGGAGCCAUGGGUUUAAAAGUUUAGUUCUGGGGAAAGGAGGAAAUGCUGGUUUUGCUCUUUCAAAUUCAGGAAAAAUAUGGAAAUCUCCCCACUCAAGAACAGGUGCUGGUGGUUUAAAUACUUUAAUAACUCUUUCAGAAACCCUGGAAGUUAUGCAGAGGGAGUGGGAGGGUGGGAUCCCUGAAAGGAUCUGUGUUUGGGUGAGACACCCUGCAAUCUGUGCAUAUGCUGCUAUGUAAUCAGCAUCCUUCUAUCAAAUGGUACAUGCUUUACCUCUGAUACUUAACAUGCUGUACACUAUUCCUGGCUCAGAAACAGGCUGCUUUUCAUACAACAUCCCUCUUUGAAUCUACUGCAUUUAUACAAAAGAAAAGAGUUUUAUGUAUUCCCAAGAAGUUGGUUACAAAUGAAGCAUAAGGUUUCCAUCCACACCUCUCCCUCAUAUAGUCUGAAAGAUGAUUGUGUGCAAAGCAGUGCAGCUUGCCAUUCUGACCUUUGGUGAAAAUUUAGAGUUUACAAAACCUAAAGCAGCCUCAGUAAUAAUUCUGUGGCUCAUGCAUUGUGUGAGCACACUGAUUUGGCCUUUAAAAUUAUCUCCAAAUCAUUUCUGCUCUUCCACCCAUUUCUGUUCUUUUAUGCCUUUCCUCUGUAAGUCUCCACUAUUUAAAAAAAAGAAAGAAAUAUGGCAGUUCUUAUUUUUCUUUGCUUAGGACUUGCUUUUAGCAUUCUUUUGUGUCUCUCAACUUAAUACUGCCUAGCAACCUCAGAAAGUUCCUCAAUAACCUGAAAGGUGGAUUUUCCAGGAAAACCUUGCUCUGCAUUGUAUAAAAUAUAACUUGUCUUUAGAGAGAGAAAUCUAUAAAAAGAUGUGUAAUUUGGCUGGUAUGGUUCAGUAAGUGCUUAACAAAGCAGGAAUUGCAUCCAAAUGUUACCUGGAAGAAAAAAAAAAUCAUGCUGACAUUAAGGCUGAUUCACACAAAAAUAUUCUUCAAGACAGUUAAAUAACCAUCCUAUUAUCUAUUUAAAGAAUUUUGAGCAAAUCUUCCACAUUCUAAAUCCAGAUUAAGAUUUCCUUAUAUAUAGGAUUUUCUAGAAUGUGGUAACCUGUAAUCUGGAAUAGCUUCAGAACAUCUGUAAAAAGGCCAAAUAAUUUCAGUAACAAAUGUUGACCUCUGUACUUCUAAAACAGCCUUCCCUAACCUGAUGCCCAGCAGAUAUGCCACAACUUCCCCAAGCAGCAUCCAGAUGACAUCUGAUUCAGAAUAAUUUUCUAAACAGUGCAAGGACAGCAGUGAUAGUUCAACCCAUAAAACCAUUUAGCCCAGUAUUCCCAUUUAUACCAGUACCCUAUUUCCACAAGCUGAGAAGGCGAUAACCCUUCCAACGUUCGUCUCCCAGUAACUGAUGUUCAGAGGCACCUGUUACUGAAUAGAGUUCUAUUUAGUUACCAUAGCUAAUAAUGUUCACAUCACAGAGCAACACCUAUUUGACCCAAACUAAUCUCAAAAAAAGCUAAAUAUAGUAUCCUUAGCUGGGAGACUGCUGGGAGAUCCCAGGGCUCUUAGCUGACUGAGGAGGUUAAGAAAAAAUCCUAGAGGAGGGUACAGUAACGAUAAACCAGUUCUGUAUUGUUGCCAGGAAAACAGCAUGGAUGACCCUAAGUAGUCACCAGGAGUCAAUCCUGACUUAAGCAAGAUCUUACUUUAUCUGAUAGUGGUUGGUAAACCUACUCUACAGGCAACUGUUAAGUGACUUCUCAAGUUGCCUAAAUCAACAAGGGAUAACAUUCUGGAGCAAUACAUUUCCUAAGCAAUGUACUGUGUAAUAAAUUCCUUAUUUGUCUGAAUGAACUGAAUGUUGAGUGAUUUCACUAGUAACCUCAGAUUUUAAUAUUAAGUAGGUUUUUUUCAUUGCUCUAAAAUAAUGCAUAAUUUUUCUCAUAAGGAAGAUACUGUAACUCUCACAACUCAUUCUGUAUUCUCUAUUUUUAUUUAUUCAUUUGCUUCAAUAUUUACUCUACUUACUUAUAUUGGCAAUUUUUUUCUGCCCAUUUUCCAUGGAUUUUUAAAAAGUUUUUCAGUUUGUUUGAAAACUGAAGCAAUUUCACUGAAGAAUCAAGCAUCAUCCAAAAAUUGGAUGCCAUCAUCUUGCCUUGUCGAUUUUUUGCAAAGUGAACAUCUACCUGCAUUAAAACAAAUCUAAUUAAAAUCAGAAAAUUGGCAUCCAUUUUCAUCCAUAAUUUGUAUCUUUCAUGCAAAUAGUAUUACUUAAUAUUUGUAAAAAAAAUAUUGGUUACAAAUGAAAUCAAGAUGUAAAUCCGAAAGUCAAGGAAAUGUAAAUGAAAUCAGAUAUUAGCUGCUAGAACUUAAAUUUGCCACAAACUUAAACUGUAUUAUAGUUCAAGCCUUGAGUAAUUUACAAGAAAAGUUAUGCUAGCACAUUCUUUGUAUUUAUUUUAGUAAACCUCAUACCUAUAACUAAUACUGUCAUAACUUUACUAACAUAUUACAGCUUUUACUUUUCAUCUCCUUUGCAGAACUCAGUUAACAAGCUAUCCAUGGCCUUUCUAGAGAGAUAACGUCAAGCUAUAUCAAACACAUAUUAACUGCAACUUUACAUACUCCUAUGAAAUAUCACUUCCUCCUUGUAGGUAAGGUCUAAGAUGGAUUAUUUGGAAGUAUUUCCCACUUAUAUUAGCUUUGGGUAGACUCAGCUGCCACUCUGCACUAGUUGCCACUUUUUCUUGCUUGUGAUUCCUAAACCUAUGGAAUGAUCACAGAUUAUGUUUUUUGGAGAUUCCCAGGCCUGUUGAUCUAUCUCUGAAGACUGACUGGCAUUUUUCCUUUAUUGCUUUUUGUCCCAUCUGUAAAUGAGCUUUUUUUCAUGUUCCAUUUUGUGCAUGCCUGUUUUUGUCCCAUAUUUUAUCUGCUUCUACCAUUUUCUAUUUGCCUUUCUUCCAUUCAACCAGAAUUGUGCCAACACUAAUUGUCUGUAGGUCUUUAAUUUUUGACUAUCUGUAAUAAAGGAACAGAAGUAUUUAUCAGUAUAGCUUUAAUGAAACUUGUAAUCUGUAUUGCAUCUGUGUGCUUCAUUAGGUGUAGUGAAAACCAGCAAAUGUAAAUAGCAUACCUUAAGGCUGGCCUCUAGCCAAAAACUACAGCUAAGGGACAGUUAGUAGGAAACACUGCUUGAAUUACUUCCUAGUGUUACAGUUCAAACUGUUCUAGAAAAAUUUCCAAAUAUAUUUCACAAAUCACACUUGAGGAAGUGAGCAUUUGCUCAAAAAAGCUUUUUGUCAAAUAUAUAUUCUAAUCUUUAAGGUGACAUAGGGCUCUGAGGGUUUUUCUUUUUUUUUUUGUCAGUAAAAGGUCUAUUUGUUGUUAAGCUUUUCAUCAUCUUUGAGGUUUAUUAACAUUUAAUUCUCUAUGGAGGAAUUUUACAAAAAGAAAAGCAGGGAAGCCUGUUACUAACAGGGACUGGAGGCAGUUUUGAAUAAUUUUUCAUGUUUUCAAGGGCUAGGGGAGCUUUGGUUCUGCUGCAGCCAUGAAAUCUUUUCACCUCAUGCCAUCUGCAAAUCACAUUACCCCAUUUCAUUCUUGCAAACUACAGAGGAAGGCUUUCAUCAUGCCUAAUAAUCUUCAAUUUUUUAAAAAAAUCUCCCAAUUCUAUGGACACCUGUUACUUUGCAUAGUCCUCAUAAAUGUGUCCUUUAUUUAUCUAUUUAAUUAAUGGCAUUUAUAUACUGCCCCAAUUAAUUCAGAUUCUGGAUGGUGUGCAGACAAAAUAAAGCUUCCCAACCCACAUGAAAACAUCAAAUUCUAAACUCAAUGAUUGCACACAGUUCCUCAUUUUGUUGAAAAUAGUUUUGAGGAUUUCCGAAAUGUGAGAAGGGGAUAAAUCAAAUGUAUCUGUGGAGGUAGUAUAUUCCAUAGAGUGGAUCUAUUCAGGAAAAUGCCUGCCUUCUGGUCUACACCUUUCUUAUUAUCCAUUUAAAACAUUCUAAAAACUAAAAUGAAACAGGAAUAAGGCCUAAGUUAUCCACUACACAGAUUAUAAAGUCACUGACAGAAGUAAACUAAAGUGGCAUAUUUAUGGCCAUUUCCCUCCUGGUGCCUUACAGUAUUUUCUAGCAUCACCCAGCUAACACUGUGAAAAUAUAAGACUUUUUUAUUACUUAUAUCAGUACAAUGUUUGGAUUACUCUAAAAAAUGCUGUAAGUCACUAGUGGGAACCCUAACCUAUUCAUUCUUUAAAUGAGGAAGAAGUUCAUUUAAACAAGCUAGUUCUUGUUAAUUUAGAACGUGGACUAGCUAUGGGAGCUGAUCAGAACAAUCAUUAUACAACACUGGAAGAUGUUUAUACCUGAUCUGCAGCAAAGAGUCAUUAAUAUGUGCUGUUUGUCAGCAUUUUAAAUUUGAAUUAGGUGUUUUGUUUAAGAUUUUUUGGUAAAUUUGGUAAAUGUUUUGGAGUUGUUCUGUUUACUAUAUUUCUUCAAGCUCUUUUUCCUUUUUAUAUUAUUUCUGUGCUACAUAUUUAUACCAUUUGUGUAUGUGUGUGUGUAUUUAAUUAAUUUGGUAUCAAAACAAAGUAUAUAAAAAUUGAUCACAAACAGCCUCUAUGAACCACAAAGGAAAAAUAAUGUUGAACUGGUGAAAAUCAGUACAACUCUACAAUAAACAGAGUGAUUGAAGAACUGA
Python bivittatus (Burmese python) is the source of this 9347-nucleotide non-coding RNA. The record is from RefSeq and is a predicted model, not a curated record. NCBI's taxonomy places the organism in Eukaryota, Metazoa, Chordata, Lepidosauria, Squamata, Pythonidae.